CCUACGGGUGGCAGCAGUGGGGAAUAUUGCACAAUGGGGGAAACCCUGAUGCAGCGACGCCGCGUGAAGGAAGAAGGAUUUCGGUAUGUAAACUUCUAUUAGCAGGGAAGAAAAUGACGGUACCUGACUAAGAAGCCCCGGCUAACUACGUGCCAGCAGCUGCGGUAAUACGUAGGGGGCAAGCGUGAGCCGGAUUUACUGGGUGUAAAGGGAGUGUAGGCGGUGUGGCAAGUCAGAAGUGAAAGCCCGGGGCUCAACUCCGGGACUGCAUUUGAAACUGUGUUGCUAGAUUGCAGGAGAGGUCAGUGGAAGUCCUAGUGUAGCGGUGAAAUGCGUAGAUAUUAGGAAGAACACCAGUGGCGAAGGCGGCUUACUGGACUGUAAAUGACGCUGAGGCUCGAAAGCGUGGGGAGCAAACAGGAUUAGAUACCCCAGUAGUC
Molecule: ribosomal RNA, 440 nt
Filed under: uncultured bacterium
Lineage: Bacteria
Description: partial 16S ribosomal RNA
Rfam family: Bacterial small subunit ribosomal RNA
Source: RNAcentral